Centrocercus urophasianus (Greater sage-grouse) is the source of this 1000-nucleotide long non-coding RNA. RefSeq lists it as uncharacterized. The transcript is spliced from 3 exons. NCBI's taxonomy places the organism in Eukaryota, Metazoa, Chordata, Aves, Galliformes, Phasianidae. The record is from RefSeq and is a predicted model, not a curated record.
GUGGCUGUGGAAGGCCUCUCUGUCAAAUCAGCUUCUAGCUUACCCUUGUCAAGAGCAUCUGCUCUUCAGUUGUUUGUUUAUGCUUACAUUCAACCAUGUGACUCAGCAAUGCUGUUGAGGGAGAACUUUCUGAGGAAGAAAUGCAUGUUCUGCUUUGAAGGAUGGACACUGUGAGUGAUCUGGGGGAGGGCUGCGCUGGCUGAAGUCACAUUGAGCCCUCCAGGCUCAAAGAAGAGGAACUGGAGUGCAGCGGCAUGAUAACAAGAAGGCAGCCCCAUUUUACUCUGAGAGAGUUGAUCUUGUUCUGUUUCUGGGACUCUGAUCUCUUGGUCAAGACUGAAGAAUAUUGACAGGCACACUUACAAACAGCUACAGCAAUAUGAGUGCACUACUUAGGUAUCUACUAUUCUAUCAUACUCCCUGCUGAGAUUUGAGCAGGAAGAUGCAUGAAGUGCAAGCCACAUUCUUAAUCCUGGAUGUCGAUACCAUGGUGAUAGCUGCAAGGAAUGAUCAUAUGUUGAAGGUUAGAAAAAAAUAUUCUGCUUUAUUCAGAAAUGCAAGACCCAUUCACUUCUUUAAACUGUAGUUGUUGGUGCGUUAUGAUUUUUUUUUUUUUAAAUAAUUGCUUUUCUCAGUAUGGAAGUUCAGGGUAGUGAAUGGUAAUUCUAUCUCAGAGUAGAAUGUGAAUUGUUUGGUUCCGAGUGUUCUUCCAACCUUCUCAAUGAAUGAGCACCUGUUUGUGAGAUUUAAGUUUCUUUUGUUUUAUUGGUAUUUUUGUGGUGAAAGGAAUGAGUUUUAACUUUUGAAGCUUCUAAUUACUCUUCAACUUAACUAUGAAAGAACAAUGUAACAUCUUUUGGUUUUAAAGUUUCAGACGCGACCUUUAACCCCAAACAGCAAUGUAAUAAAAUCACUUGCUUAGAUUGAAAAACAAUAAAGAUUCCUCGUUUACCCUGUCUGUGUAAUUGGAACAAUGCCGUUCAUCUUGGAGAGGAAGAGU